Long non-coding RNA from Salvia miltiorrhiza (redroot sage), 779 nucleotides. RefSeq lists it as uncharacterized. The transcript is spliced from 3 exons. The record is from RefSeq and is a predicted model, not a curated record. NCBI's taxonomy places the organism in Eukaryota, Viridiplantae, Streptophyta, Magnoliopsida, Lamiales, Lamiaceae.
CUUCAAAAAAACGAAAGUUGCUACCAUUUUCAAACAAUCAUCGUUCAGAAGUUAAGCAGCCUAUCAAUAGAGAAAUUGUGAGUCAUGUAGGGUUGGAUAGCCUGCCGAAACAAAAAAGGAAGACAAAAGCAUAUAUUCAUCGCGAUCGUGAAGCUAAUCUUGGCGAUAUUUUCGUAUGCGCCGAUCCUUGUUCUUGCGCAUUGUCAAUGAGGUGGAAUCUGAUCCUUACUUCCAACAACGCGAAAACGCUAUUGGGAGAGCCGAAUUCCUACCAUACAUAAAUGAAGGACUCCACUGGUGCAAUUCGAAGCCAACAACUCUUACUACACGAUGGACUACUACUUAACUGACGACAUCUAUUCAAAUCGGCCCAUGUUCGUGAAGAGUCUGAUAUUUCCUUCGAACAAGAAGAAUAAGGGGAAUUGAUGCAAGAAACGGCUCGGAAGAACGUAGAACAAGCUUUUGGUGUCUUUCAAGUUCUAUGGCCUAUUAUCAAAGGACCUACUUGUUUAUGGAAGAAGAAGCAUCUGAGCGAUAUCAUGUUUGCGCGUAUUAUACACAUAACAUGGUAAUCAAAGAUGAAGGAGAAUAUGCGACGGAGUUGGAAGACGAGGAAAACAACGAGGCGUCGAGUAGCACUGCUUCAUCUUGUACUCGCACCGGAGCUCCGUCGAAAUUCCGAGCUUAUUUGACUCGACAGUCCUCCCUUCGCGAGUGCCAAAUGCACAACCGCCUCAACUCAAAUUUAAUCGAGCACAUUUGAGCUCAAUUUGGUCUGA